GACGAACGCUGGCGGCGUGCCUAAUACAUGCAAGUAGAACGCGCAGUUUAUACCGUAGCUUGCUACACCAUAAACUGUGAGUUGCGAACGGGUGAGUAACGCGUAGGUAACCUGCCUGGUAGCGGGGGAUAACUAUUGGAAACGAUAGCUAAUACCGCAUAAUAUUAAUUAUUGCAUGAUAAUUGAUUGAAAGAUGCAAUUGCAUCACUACCAGAUGGACCUGCGUUGUAUUAGCUAGUAGGUGAGGUAACGGCUCACCUAGGCGACGAUACAUAGCCGACCUGAGAGGGUGAUCGGCCACACUGGGACGGAGACACGGCCCAGACUCCUACGGGAGGCAGCAGUAGGGAAUCUUCGGCAAUGGACGAAAGUCUGACCGAGCAACGCCGCGUGAGUGAAGAAGGUUUUCGGAUCGUAAAGCUCUGUUGUAAGAGAAGAACGGGUGUGAGAGUGGAAAGUUCACACUGUGACGGUAUCUUACCAGAAAGGGACGGCUAACUACGUG
RNAcentral lists this ribosomal RNA (505 nucleotides) under uncultured bacterium. RNAcentral describes it as "partial 16S ribosomal RNA". It matches the Rfam family "Bacterial small subunit ribosomal RNA", at positions 28 to 507 of the family's 1533-position model. The record is from RNAcentral.